Molecule: ribosomal RNA, 382 nt
Filed under: Scheffersomyces shehatae
Lineage: Eukaryota; Fungi; Ascomycota; Pichiomycetes; Serinales; Debaryomycetaceae
Description: eukaryotic LSU rRNA
Rfam family: Eukaryotic large subunit ribosomal RNA
Source: RNAcentral
GAAGAAGGUAACUUUGGAGUUGGCUCUGUCUAUGUUCCUUGGAACAGGACGUCACAGAGGGUGAGAAUCCCGUGCGAUGAGAUGUCCAACUCUAUGUAAAGUGCUUUCGAAGAGUCGAGUUGUUUGGGAAUGCAGCUCUAAGUGGGUGGUAAAUUCCAUCUAAAGCUAAAUAUUGGCGAGAGACCGAUAGCGAACAAGUACAGUGAUGGAAAGAUGAAAAGAACUUUGAAAAGAGAGUGAAAAAGUACGUGAAAUUGUUGAAAGGGAAGGGUUUGAGAUCAGACUUGGUAUUUUGUAUGUCUUGCUUUCGGGUGGGGCCUCUGCAGUUUACUGGGCCAGCAUCGGUUUGGACGGUAGGAUAAUGACAUUGGAAUGUGGCACU